GUAUGCAGAUCAUGACCAGAAGUUCCUUGAUCCUCAUCAUACAAUUAUAUCAGGACUUGAAGAUCCUUGAUGAUGAUGUUAAUAUGAGAGCUGGCAGUCUCUCCGGUACUAUAUUUGUAAACAUGUGAUUGGACUUGAGGGUCCUUGAUCCCUGACAUGUAAAUAAGGACCUGGGGUUCCUUAAUGAUGUAACAGUACCGUAU
RNAcentral lists this long non-coding RNA (203 nucleotides) under Prunus persica (peach). RNAcentral describes it as "long non-coding RNA (PPER_LNC004261)". Lineage: Eukaryota; Viridiplantae; Streptophyta; Magnoliopsida; Rosales; Rosaceae. The record is from RNAcentral.